RNAcentral lists this ribosomal RNA (244 nucleotides) under uncultured bacterium. RNAcentral's name for it is "partial 16S ribosomal RNA". It matches the Rfam family "Bacterial small subunit ribosomal RNA", at positions 113 to 353 of the family's 1533-position model. The record is from RNAcentral.
ACGCGUGAGUAACCUGCCUUUCAGAGGGGGAUAACGUUCUGAAAAGAACGCUAAUACCGCAUGAGACUACAGAGCUGCAUGGCUCAGUGGUCAAAGGAGCAAUCCGCUGAAAGAUGGACUCGCGUCCGAUUAGAUAGUAGGCGGGGUAACGGCCCACCAAGGCGACGAUGCAUAGCCGGCCUGAGAGGGCGGACGGCCACAUUGGGACUGAGACACGGCCCAAACUCCUACGGGAGGCAGCAUG